AGGGGAUAUUGUAUGUAACUGGUGACAUUUGAAAGAGACAUAUUGGACAGAAAUGACAUACGUGAAAGCCAAGAUACAAUAUAUUUAAUUUUCUAAGAAUUCAGUUCAAGAUAAGGAAGCUGAGAUGUAGAGCUGAAGUGUCUUGCCCAAGAUCAUUUGUCUACCUAUGACCUGGCUCGACCCAGCUACAAGUUGUUAAUAAGAGGGAAGCAUAUCAGGAAAAUCUGAGUGCAAUGGUUUAGGAAUUGGGAAAGUAUAAAAGGUGUAGCACAACAGCACUAGACAACUGAGGUAGUCACCUACCUAAGGAGAGA
Molecule: long non-coding RNA, 314 nt
Organism: Gorilla gorilla gorilla (western lowland gorilla)
Lineage: Eukaryota; Metazoa; Chordata; Mammalia; Primates; Hominidae
Exons: 3
Source: RefSeq, a predicted model, not a curated record